Molecule: ribosomal RNA, 618 nt
Filed under: Burkholderia multivorans
Lineage: Bacteria; Pseudomonadati; Pseudomonadota; Betaproteobacteria; Burkholderiales; Burkholderiaceae
Description: bacterial LSU rRNA
Rfam family: Bacterial large subunit ribosomal RNA
Source: RNAcentral
GGGGUGACGGCGUACCUUUUGUAUAAUGGGUCAGCGACUUACGUUCAGUAGCAAGCUUAACCGUAUAGGGCAGGCGUAGCGAAAGCGAGUCCGAAUAGGGCGUUCAGUUGCUGGGCGUAGACCCGAAACCAGGUGAUCUAUCCAUGGCCAGGAUGAAGGUGCGGUAACACGUACUGGAGGUCCGAACCCACUAACGUUGAAAAGUUAGGGGAUGAGCUGUGGAUAGGGGUGAAAGGCUAAACAAACCUGGAAAUAGCUGGUUCUCUCCGAAAACUAUUUAGGUAGUGCCUCGUGUCUCACCUUCGGGGGUAGAGCACUGUCAUGGUUGGGGGGUCUAUUGCAGAUUACCCCGCCAUAGCAAACUCCGAAUACCGAAGAGUGCAAUCACGGGAGACAGACAUCGGGUGCUAACGUCCGGUGUCAAGAGGGAAACAACCCAGACCGCCAGCUAAGGUCCCCAAAUAUGGCUAAGUGGGAAACGAAGUGGGAAGGCUAAAACAGUCAGGAGGUUGGCUUAGAAGCAGCCACCCUUUAAAGAAAGCGUAAUAGCUCACUGAUCGAGUCGUCCUGCGCGGAAGAUGUAACGGGGCUAAGCCAUAUACCGAAGCUGCGGAUGCG